Molecule: ribosomal RNA, 301 nt
Filed under: uncultured bacterium
Lineage: Bacteria
Description: partial 16S ribosomal RNA
Rfam family: Bacterial small subunit ribosomal RNA
Source: RNAcentral
CAGUCGCCGCGGUAAUACGUAGGGUGCAAGCGUUGUCCGGAAUUAUUGGGCGUAAAGAGCUCGUAGGCGGUUUGUCGCGUCUGCUGUGAAAUCCCGAGGCUCAACCUCGGGCUUGCAGUGGGUACGGGCAGACUAGAGUGCGGUAGGGGAGAUUGGAAUUCCUGGUGUAGCGGUGGAAUGCGCAGAUAUCAGGAGGAACACCGAUGGCGAAGGCAGAUCUCUGGGCCGUAACUGACGCUGAGGAGCGAAAGCGUGGGGAGCGAACAGGAUUAGAUACCCCAGUAGUCCCUGUCUCUUAUAC